Molecule: ribosomal RNA, 465 nt
Filed under: uncultured bacterium
Lineage: Bacteria
Description: partial 16S ribosomal RNA
Rfam family: Bacterial small subunit ribosomal RNA
Source: RNAcentral
AAUGAACGUUGGCGGCGUGGAUUAGGCAUGCAAGUCGAGCGAGAACCCCGCAAGGGGGGACAGCGGCGAAAGGGACAGUAAUGUGUAGAUUAUCUGCCCUCAGGUCCGGGAUAGCUGCGGGAAACUGCAGGUAAUACCGGAUAACAUCUCCGGAUCAAAGGUGUGAUUCCGCCUGAGGAUGAGUCUGCAUCCUAUUAGCUAGUUGGUGGGGUAAUGGUCUACCAAGGCAUUGAUGGGUAGCAGGUGUGAGAGCACGACCUGCGUCAUUGGGACUGAGACACUGCCCAGACACCUACGGGUGGCUGCAGUCGAGAAUCUUCGGCAAUGGGCGCAAGCCUGACCGAGCGACGCCGCGUGUGGGAUGAAGGCCUUCGGGUUGUAAACCACUGUCAGAGGGGAUGAAAUGCAGGUGGGUUCUCCCAUCUGUUUGACAUAGCCUCAGAGGAAGGACGGGCUAAGUUCGUG